GACGAACGCUGGCGGCGUGCUUAACACAUGCAAGUCGAGCGGUAAGGCUCCUUCGGGAGUACACGAGCGGCGAACGGGUGAGUAACACGUGAGCAAUCUGCCCUUCACUUAGGGAUAACUCCGGGAAACCGGUGCUAAUACCGAAUACGACCACUUCAGGCAUCUGAUGGUGGUGGAAAGUUCCGGCGGUGAAGGAUGAGCUCGCGGCCUAUCAGCUUGUUGGUGAGGUAANGGCCCCACCAAGGCAACGACGGGUAGCCGGCCUGAGAGGGUGACCGGCCACACUGGGACUGAGACACGGCCCAGACUCCUACGGGAGGCAGCAGUGGGGAAUA
RNAcentral lists this ribosomal RNA (335 nucleotides) under uncultured bacterium. RNAcentral's name for it is "bacterial SSU rRNA". It matches the Rfam family "Bacterial small subunit ribosomal RNA", at positions 28 to 363 of the family's 1533-position model. The record is from RNAcentral.